AUAAGAAACACCCACACAAUCUCCAUAGAGGAGGUAGACACAUCCCGCAGGGGCGAUUGACAAACAAAAUGGUGAACAUCAAACUCAACAUCAUGACCCAAGUUAGCAAGAAAAUCUGCUAUCACAUUCCCUUCUCUCCUUGUGUGGGUGAAUUUAAUCUCCCAGAAUUUGUCCUUCCAAGCUUGGAUAGCUUUCACAAAAGCCCCAUAGGGAUGUCUAGGGUCGCAGCCUUUGGUGAUGAGAUUAAUGGCUGUCGCUGAGUCGCUUUCCAUAAUGAUUCCGCGAGAAGCCAUGAAGCCAUCUUCUCGUUUCAUCAUUCUGAAAGGUACUUUUUUCAUUGCCCAAACUAAUCCGGAAUGUGAUGCUAGUAGCUCAUUCUCACGACUCAUUCGUUCCUUCCUUCAACCUCGCCUAUCUGUCUCUCACUCUCAUCCACCGUGAAGAUCCAACAGAGGCGCGUCAUUGGGGUGGAGAAAACAAAGCAUGAGGAGAAACAAAGAGGCUGCAGAGAGGGCAUUCAUGCGGGGGAGCAAAACAGCGUUUAUGAGGGGAAAUACCCUUUUGGUAAAUGGAUCAAGUCCUCAAGCAACGGGGUGGGUGAGGGAACACUCUUUGCCUCAGUUCAUCUUAUCACCCUCAAUCCAACGGCCAAACCGAGUUCACAAACCGAUCCCUGGAAACAUAUCUGAGGUGCUUUGCUGGAGAACAACCUCGUACCUGGUCCUAUUUGUUACCAUAGGCAGAAUUGUGUUAUAAUAUCACUUGGCAUGUGAGUACAAACACAACUCCAUUCGAAGUUGUGUAUAGCCGAAAGCCACCUACCAUCCUCAGCUUUAUGCCUAGUGAGGUUAGAGUUGAGUCAGUAGCAUACGCUUUGGGCGAACGAGAUGAAGCUUUGAAACAACUCCGCCACCACCUCAGCCGUGCCCAGCACGCUAUGAAACGACACGCAGACAAACACCGCAGGAAUGUGGAGUUCCAACCAGUAGAAUCAAUCAGAAGCUUGCUGCUUGCUACUUUGGUUCUUUCCCUAUUGCUUAAAAAAGUCAUUGGCCCUCAAGUGGUGGAACCUCAUUUGCCUCUGGGCAUGGAGGACGAUACUGGCAUUUCACGUGAGCCCGGGACUGUAUUGGCCAUUCGACAACAGCAUCACAAGGGCAGGUCAGGGGAGCAAGUGGUUGGUGCAGUGGAAAGGCUGUAAUCAUUCAAUAUCAGUUUCCUAGUUUCAGUCUUGAGGACAAGCCUGCUUUUCAAGGGGUGGACAAUGAUAGGAAUGCAACCCACGGGGUGGGUGAGGGACCUAGUGUGGUCACUAAUGAAUCAACCCCUUCUCAUACUAGGAAUAGAAUCUGGAAGUUUUACACUAGGAGGACGCGUGGCAAUACUUGACAGGAGGAGAAUAUCCUCUGGCACAUGGGAUGGUGAGUGAAUAGGGAAAAUAACUAACAGGAGAGAGAGAGAGAGUGAGUGGAGAAGGGGGUUAUAGGGAAGGAGAGUGGGAAGAAAGGGUAGCUUGGUUAGUGUUUUUCUACGGCCAAUUUGGCUUGGGCAAGAGAGAGAGAGAGUUCUCUUGUGUAUCUUCUAUUAGCUCUGUAAUCUGCUCUAUAGCAGAGUUUUCUUCUACUUUAAUACAAAUUACUCCUUGAUUCUUAGUCUCUAUUACAAGCAUUCUAUGUGAGCUGUAUUAGAGUUCUUGUCAACUACAGUUACAUGCUUCUGAUGGUUAAAGUGACAA
Long non-coding RNA from Lotus japonicus, 1735 nucleotides. RefSeq lists it as uncharacterized. NCBI's taxonomy places the organism in Eukaryota, Viridiplantae, Streptophyta, Magnoliopsida, Fabales, Fabaceae. The transcript is spliced from 3 exons. The record is from RefSeq and is a predicted model, not a curated record.